GUUUCAGCCUGCGAUGCACCUCCCCGCCCCUCCAGGCGUGUGCCCCCGCCUCUGGCGGGCAUUGCCGGCCCUGAUGCUGGGCGAUCACCUGGACUUUGCCUGCUACAGCCCCCACAUCAACUAUGCACUGGUGGUUCAAGCACUGGCCCAGAGUGAGGUUGGGCCCUUCCUGGCCUUUGAGAUCGAAA
Tyto alba (common barn owl) is the source of this 188-nucleotide long non-coding RNA. RefSeq lists it as uncharacterized. NCBI's taxonomy places the organism in Eukaryota, Metazoa, Chordata, Aves, Strigiformes, Tytonidae. The record is from RefSeq and is a predicted model, not a curated record. The transcript is spliced from 2 exons.